CAGUAGCCGCGGUAAUACGGAGGGCGCGAGCGUUACCCGGAUUUACUGGGCGUAAAGGGCGUGUAGGCGGCCUGGGGCGUCCCAUGUGAAAGGCCACGGCUCAACCGUGGAGGAGCGUGGGAUACGCUCAGGCUAGAGGGUGGGAGAGGGUGGUGGAAUUCCCGGAGUAGCGGUGAAAUGCGCAGAUACCGGGAGGAACGCCGACGGCGAAGGCAGCCACCAGGUCCACUUCUAACGCUGAGGCGCGAAAGCGUGGGGAGCAAACCGGAUUAGAUACCCCCGUAGUCCCUGUCUCUUAUAC
Molecule: ribosomal RNA, 301 nt
Filed under: uncultured bacterium
Lineage: Bacteria
Description: partial 16S ribosomal RNA
Rfam family: Bacterial small subunit ribosomal RNA
Source: RNAcentral